Molecule: long non-coding RNA, 969 nt
Organism: Ornithodoros turicata
Lineage: Eukaryota; Metazoa; Arthropoda; Arachnida; Ixodida; Argasidae
Exons: 2
Source: RefSeq, a predicted model, not a curated record
GAAUGCCUUUCGAUCUGUCUAAUUCACCCGCCAGUUUUCAGCGGUUGAUGGAUACAGUGUUGGGAAAUGCGAAGUACAAUUUCGCAAUGGCAUACAUGGAUGAUGUCGUAGUGUUUUCUAGAAACUUUCAGGAACACUUGGAACACCUGCCAACCGUCCUUGCAAGGAUGAACGAAGCGGGCAUAACGAUCAACCCCCGCAAGGUGCAGCUGGCAUCGUCUAAGAUCAGCCUUCUCGGCUUUGUGGUGGACGGAGGUACCAUCCGUCCCAACGACAAGCUAAAGGCGAUCAUGGAGUUUCCGGUUCCCGGUAACAUCAAAGUCUUGCAGCGCUUCCUAGCCGCUUAACCAGUUGUUGCGCAAGGACAGGAGCCGGAAUUGGGGAGAAGAGCAGGGACGAUCAUUUCGUGCUCUAUCACAAGCAAUCGCUGAUACGGCUAGACUUUAUCUGCCAGACCUCAACAAACCAUUCGUUGCGCAAACAGAUGCAAGCAAUAUGGAGUUUGCGCAGUUCUCUUGCAGGAGCAUGACCCUAUUCUUGGUCCAGUGGCUUUUGCAAGUCGCACGCUGAAUCCGGCAGAACGGAACUACUCAGUCACGGAAAAGGAGUGAUUUGCGAUCAUCUUCGCUUUCAGGAAGUUCGACCUGUGCCUGGACGGCAGUGCCUUCGCUGUCAUGACCCAGUAUACAAUUAAUAUCCCCAGGACAUACCUACAAGGUCGCUAACGUCCUGAAUAUCCGGAUAUCCAUGCGAUACUCAUGGGACGUUCCAGAACGACAUUCGCGUUUCGGUUUUACUCAGUAAAUACCUGAUGUCCCAGGUACAUCCGCAAGAUAUCGUGCUUUGGAUGUUUGGAAGGAAGAAGUAGCCUGAAGAUCCCAGAGAUAUCCAUGGAUGGAACGUCACAGGAACGUCCCCAGGACGUCGUUUAGAGAUAUACGAAUAAAUUUGUGACAUCUUGCUCUGACA